UAUAUAUAUAUAUUUGUUACAUAAAUUACCCCAACUGGGAUUAAAAACCAAAUUGGGGAGAACUAACAUCUCACAAUCAUUUCAUUUUUCUUGUUAUAAAAAAAGGCCUAGCGGGUGCCAAUAUACCACCUCAGCAACAGCCAGCCACAUGGGCCAACCUUCUCCUAUACCCUAAACCCCCUCCCAUCCUCGCAAACAAUUCUACAAUACUAGCAAAUAAAUUAAGUUGCUUGUCCU
RNAcentral lists this unclassified non-coding RNA (237 nucleotides) under Hevea brasiliensis (rubber tree). Lineage: Eukaryota; Viridiplantae; Streptophyta; Magnoliopsida; Malpighiales; Euphorbiaceae. The record is from RNAcentral.